Long non-coding RNA from Herpailurus yagouaroundi (jaguarundi), 1151 nucleotides. RefSeq lists it as uncharacterized. The record is from RefSeq and is a predicted model, not a curated record. The transcript is spliced from 4 exons. Lineage: Eukaryota; Metazoa; Chordata; Mammalia; Carnivora; Felidae.
CUGUCGGCGUGGAGGACUGCUGGCACGGAACUCUGGGGCUCGGGCCCUACCCGAUGGGUCACAAAGAGGAUCAUAGAGACGAGAAGACAGAGGAAAUUCCAGUCCAGUGUAACAAAACGAAGCAAGAGAAAAGAAACUAAGGCAGUGUUUUGAAGGAAGAGAUCUUCCUUGGGGCGUCAUCCCCUGUGCGGAGUCCUGCUAAGCAGUCCUUGACGUGGCCUGCUUUCUCCAUUCCCCAUCUGAUGUUUUUGCCCAGACCCCCGGGAGCCCGGGCCUGGCCUCUAGCUGGCUCACAAGACGUUCUGGACUGAAAGGAAAGGCACUUAGGGAAAAGUCUCGGUUGAAGCAACUGGGGCCAAUAAGGACCAGAAACGGAUGAGAUGUUCCAGCAAGAAGCAGAGGGCCUGAAAGAGAAAUCUGGACCCCAGACACAGGAAGAAAGGCAGAAGACAGCCAGCAUCCAGGCACUUCAAAGAAACCCACUUGGAAGCCAGGACUUGGGGAGCUAGGCAAGGAUGUCUCACAAACGCAGUUCCCCAAGUGUGUUUCUGCAAAACUCCUUGAAGGUCCUGAGGGGGGCAAACAGGAGAGAACUUCCAGACAAGGAGAGCAAGAGGGACUUUGCAGAUGUGAUUACAUUAAGGAUCUUGGGAUGGGGAGACCCUGGAUUAUCUGGGUGAGCCCAAUGUAAUCACAAGGGUCCUUCUAAGAGGAAACCGGAGGAGACAGAGGAGAAAAAGGCAAUGUGGCAACAGAAACAGAGAUCGGAGCGAUAUGGCUGGAAGCCAAGGAAUGCCAGCAAACUCUAGAAGCUGCAAGAGACGAGAAACGGAUUCUCCCCUGGAGCCUCCCCAAGGAUGGAGCCCUGUCAACACCUUGACUUUAGCACAGUCAGCCUGCUUUUGGACUUUGACCUCCGGAAAUGUAAGAGAAUACUUUCUUCUAUUUUAAGUCACUGAGUUUGUGGAAAUUUGUUAGGUAGUCAUAGGAAACUAAUAUAGAGAAUAUAAGGUAAUUACAAAGCACCCAUAUCAAACCACCCUUUGGACUAAACACACACACUAGGGGUGCCCGGGUGGCUGUCGGUUGAGCAUCUGACUUGGGCUCAGCUCAGGAUCUCGUGAUGCGUGAGUUCAAGCCCCGCGUCGGUC